Molecule: non-coding RNA, 2167 nt
Organism: Cinara cedri
Lineage: Eukaryota; Metazoa; Arthropoda; Insecta; Hemiptera; Aphididae
Source: the annotation of a GenBank genome assembly
UUAAUAUAAAAUUAAAAAAAAAAGGAAAUUAAUGUCACGAGAGAGUUAUAUAUUCCCAAUAAUAUGGUUUCUGUGCUACGUUUUGUAGGACCAUUUAUUGUCAAUCGAAUGUCUGAAAAGGUAAUAAAAAAAAUUCUCCAAUGGUGUUAAAUUGAAAAAUUUAUUUUCGGUUUCUCUCGACAAGUGUACACCACAAUCGUGUUUUCCAUAUACGGCGCUAUCGUCAUUAAAGAUUUUCAUAUAGAUAAGGAUGAUAUCAAUAGCAUAAUUCCUGAUUCAAUUCAUUUUCCGAAAGGAUAAUCGCAUUUUUUUAUCGUUGGAAAAUGAAAAUAUUGAUUCAAUUCAUUUUCCGAAAGGAUAAUCGCAUUUUUUUAUCGUUGGAAAAUGAAAAUAUUGAAUAUAUAAAUAACACUUAAUCAUUGGUCAAUAUGGUUUUGUUCAACGAUUAUUACGAGCCAUAUGCUGAUAUUUGUUGAGAUAUUAUAUAAAUUAAUAUCGGUUUUUUACCGAGUUAUUAUUUAUACAAAAUAUGUAUUUAAUAAUGAUUUUUGUCGUUCAGUUCUCGCCCAUUGUACACCACACUCGUGUUUUCCAUAUACGGCGGAAGACAUAAUUUAUGAAAAAUGUCAAGAUUUUUUAUUUCAAUGGAGCCUAAAAUUGAUAGAUUGUACUCGAUUCUAUUUUACCGGAUAGUGGUACUUGAAUUUUGCACCAUAUUAAAAUAUUUUAUUUGAAUGCUCUAAACAAAUAAAUAUAUGACGUUUAAUAUUCUUUUAAUAUAAAAUUAAAAAAAAAAGGAAAUUAAUGUCACGAGAGAGUUAUAUAUUCCCAAUAAUAUGGUUUCUGUGCUACGUUUUGUAGGACCAUUUAUUGUCAAUCGAAAGUCUGAAAAGGUAAUAAAAAAAAUUCUCCCAUGGUGUUAAAUUGAAAAAUUUAUUUUCGGUUGCUCUCGACAAGUGUACACCACACUCGUGUUUUCCAUAUACGGCGCUAUCGUCAUUAAAGAUUUUCAUAUAGAUAAGGAUGAUAUCAAUAGCAUAAUUCCUGAUUCAAUUCAUUUUCCGAAAGGAUUAUCGCAUUUUUUUAUCGUUGAAAAAUGAAAAUAUUGAUUAUAUAAUAACACUUAAUCAUUGGCCAAUAUGGUUUUGUUCAACGAUUAUUACGAGCCAUAUGCUGAUAUUUGUUGAGAUAUUAUAUAAAUUAAUAUCGGUUUUUUACCGAGUUAUUAUUUAUACAAAAUAUGUAUUUAAUAAUGAUUUUUGUCGUUCAGUUCUCGCCCAUUGUACACCACACUCGUGUUUUCCAUAUACGGCGGAAGACAUAAUUUAUGAAAAAUGUCAAGAUUUUUUAUUUCAAUGGAGCCUAAAAUUGAUAGAUUGUACUCGAUUCUAUUUUACCGGAUAGUGGUACUUGAAUUUUGCACCAUAUUAAAAUAUUUUAUUUGAAUGCUCUAAACAAAUAAACAUAUGACGUUUAAUUUUCUUUUAAUAUAAAAUUAAAAAAAAAAGGAAAUUAAUGUCACGAGAGAGUUAUAUAUUCCCAAUAAUAUGGUUUCUGUGCUACGUUUUGUAGGACCAUUUAUUGUCAAUCGAAAGUCUGAAAAGGUAAUAAAAAAAAUUCUCCCAUGGUGUUAAAUUGAAAAAUUUAUUUUCGGUUGCUCUCGACAAGUGUACACCACACUCGUGUUUUCCAUAUACGGCGGAAGACAUAAUUUAUGAAAAAUGUCAAGAUUUUUUAUUUCAAUGGAGCCUAAAAUUGAUAGAUUGUACUCGAUUCUAUUUUACCGGAUAGUUGUACUUGAAUUUUGCACCAUAUUAAAAUAUUUUAUUUAAAUGCUCUAAACAAAUAAACAUAUGACGUUUAAUUUUCUUUUAAUAUAAAAUUAAAAAAAAAAGGAAAUUAAUGUCACGAGAGAGUUAUAUAUUCCCAAUAAUAUGGUUUCUGUGCUACGUUUUGUAGGACCAUUAUUUUAUCGUUCGUUAGAUUGUAGAAAGAAUAAAAAUAAUUUUCUUAUUGUGUUGUAAUUAAAAACCUGUGCUCUAGGUUUUCUAUAUACGGCAGGAGACUUAAUGAAUCACAAUCGUGCAAAUUUAUAAUUUGCCCGUCAUUUCGUGUAUAAUAGCUAAUCGCUUUUUCUACUUAAAUAUAUUGUAUUAUUUAUAUGUUA